This 88-nucleotide ribosomal RNA is filed under the name Bacillus cereus. Lineage: Bacteria; Bacillati; Bacillota; Bacilli; Caryophanales; Bacillaceae. The record is from RNAcentral.
CACACCCGUUCCCAUACCGAACACGGAAGUUAAGCUCUCUAGCGCCGAUGGUAGUUGGGACCUUGUCCCUGUGAGAGUAGGACGUCGC